RNAcentral lists this ribosomal RNA (310 nucleotides) under Bacillus subtilis. RNAcentral describes it as "bacterial SSU rRNA". It matches the Rfam family "Bacterial small subunit ribosomal RNA", at positions 1195 to 1506 of the family's 1533-position model. Lineage: Bacteria; Bacillati; Bacillota; Bacilli; Caryophanales; Bacillaceae. The record is from RNAcentral.
ACUCUGCUUAUGACUGGGCUAACACGUGCUACAUGGACAGAACAAAGGGCAGCGAAACCGCGAGGUUAAGCCAAUCCCACAAAUCUGUUCUCAGUUCGGAUCGCAGUCUGCAACUCGACUGCGUGAAGCUGGAAUCGCUAGUAAUCGCGGAUCAGCAUGCCGCGGUGAAUACGUUCCCGGGCCUUGUACACACCGCCCGUCACACCACGAGAGUUUGUAACACCCGAAGUCGGUGAGGUAACCUUUUAGGAGCCAGCCGCCGAAGGUGGGACAGAUGAUUGGGGUGAAGUCGUAACAAGGUAACCAAGCG